CGGACAGCCCAGGAGACUGAAGUCUCCUAUUUAUCCACUGAACAGGUGCACAGCAGCAAAACGCUGGUCUACUGUCAUGCCUUUAACCCUUAUCUGUGGAAGCACCUUUCCAAGGUGAAAGGAGAGCUCAGCCUUCCUACCCAUUUCAAACCCUGUCCAAU
This 161-nucleotide small RNA is filed under the name Chelonoidis abingdonii (Abingdon island giant tortoise). RNAcentral's name for it is "TUC338 (ENSCABG00000000897.1)". The record is from RNAcentral. Lineage: Eukaryota; Metazoa; Chordata; Testudines; Testudinidae.